This 30-nucleotide non-coding RNA is filed under the name Rattus norvegicus (Norway rat). The record is from RNAcentral. Lineage: Eukaryota; Metazoa; Chordata; Mammalia; Rodentia; Muridae.
UGCUGAUUGCUGCUGCUCUGAGCUGUUUGU